GACUUUUGAGAGGUUCAGACUUGAAGUAUGGCUCGGGCUGUAACCUGUGAGUACACAUACGAAAAGUAAUUCAGAGGGUCUCUUCUUCUAAUGUUGUCUUCUCUUCCUGCAUCGAUUCGUCCCUCUCAGCGAUCCUCAGGCAGCCUCGCUGUCACCGCUCCCUCAACGUUUGAAGUCGAUGCUCCUUGUCCGGCAUCAGAUUUCUCUUCCAACAUCCUCAGGCUUACAAUUCCCGUUGCCAUGGCCAUUUUGUCCGCCAUACUCUCAAAAGAAAGAGCUCUUAUCUUCAUCUCACCAGAAGCUUGUUUCACUCUCGCCAUUCUUUCUCUAAUAAGAGCGACGUUCCUAAUCUUCACCACUUAGUCGCAUAGGCUGCUCUCUUUGCUGCCAAACACAACCCCAGUGAGUUUUCACUUUAUUUUUGUAUAUUGGUUUGAUUGUGUAUUUGUGUUUGGUGAAAUGAGCAACUUAAAUUAACAUAGGUUGUUUCAAAAUGAGUGGGGUUUCACUUGUCAAAUACGGAUUGAAUACAGUAGCUGUAUUUAUUGCUGCUAAUGUUAGUGUGCAUUUCGUUGGUGGAGCAAAAGAUCGAUUUCUGGGUUUUGAGCUACCUGUGUGUAUGUAUGUGUGAGUAUGGGUAUUCCCUUUGUGCAAUUUUGUGUUGUAGUAUAGAAUUCAUUAGUUUGAAUACGUACUGCUUUUCGUAUCUCUGUUUAUAUCAGGGCAAGCCUCAAGCCAAAGCUUUAUUAGUGUUCAAAUGUGCCGAGAUAGGGAGGUAGCGUCGGUUACAACCACUUUUGGAUUAAGCUUUAAUUGGAGAUUCUUUUUUCUUUUUUUUUGGGGGGGUUGGGGGGGGGGGGGGAAGAGGGGGUUGGUAUAAGGCCUGAAUAUAUUGUCUGUGUUGUUUCAUUGUGUAUAUAAAAUUGUCUAGUGUGAUACAUACUGGUAUCUGCAUAUAUUUACAGCAGAAACAACAAAUGGUCUACCAUUAAACAACAUACAGGUCUAAAUCUAAGGAGUAUAGCAUGGAGAUUGGAAAGUCUUUGCUUAAUUUGCUCUCGUAUGGGAAAUCAAUCAACACUGAACUGCAAAUUUUGUCUUUGUACAUUUGGUAAGGACCAAGCUUUUUCAAGAUUAAUGGUUCCAUUUUCAGAUUUUUCCUAUGCCAUGGUGGUUUACUGUGGAUAAUAAUGCUCUGAAGGGUUUAUAUGCGGAGGUUUUAAUGUUCUUUUACCAAAAUUUCAUUUUGUGACAAUGGCGUCGUGUAUUGUGUGAAUUAAAACUCAUGUCCUAAAUUUUCUUUCCUUUUUCCUUUUUUCCGUCUAGCCUUAUACCAGCAUCAGAAUUUUCUCCAGAUUCUGAAAUUCAUCCAAGAGGCCAUAUUUAUCAUGAGACUUAUGGAUGUCAGAUGAAUAUCAACAGGACAAAGCAGAACCAAAAGUGUGGCAGAGACGUAAUUACUUUUGUUCUCAAGGGACAAUGGAAGAGAAAUGAUGCUAUUGGAAGGUCACAGUCAGUUCCUUCUAAGGUGGUUGUUUUCGGAUGUCUGGCUUAAAGUUUAAAGGACUAGAUGGCAUAUAAGAUGGUUGAUGUGGUUUGUGGACCUGAUGCUUACAGAGAUUUACUGCAGUUAUUGGAAGAGGCAAACUAAUUCGAAAUGGGGACCGAUACUCUUCUUUCACUGGAAGAAACUUAUGCUGAUAUUAGUCCAGUUUGAAUUUGCAGGGAUUCAAUUAUUGCUUUUGUCCCAGUGAUGAGAAGUUGCACUAAUAUGUGCUUCUUUGCAUUGUUCCUUUUACUAGAGGGAAGAGAGCGGUCACAUCUAGUGGAUUCAAUAGUGAAGGAAGUGGCAGAACUAGGAAGGAAGGAGUGAAGGAAGUAACUCUUCUUGGUCAGAAUGUGAACAGCUACAACAAUGCAUCCAGGAUUGAAAAUAAUAUGAACCAGGAUCAAAUCGAAAUCAAGCGAAGGCUUUUCCAGCAUGUGCAAGGUAAAAAAGGUGGGAUUGCAUUUUUCAGAUCUCUUGGACCAGCUUUCCACUGAAUUUCCUGAGAUGUGGUUCAGAUACACAUUACCCCACCCUAAAAGACUUACCUGAUGACUUAUUGUAUAGCAUGCGAGACAGAUAUAAUAUCUGCAUUCAUUUACCUGCACGAACAGUGAGUAGCACAGUUCUUGAGAGAAUCACCUGGGAUAUACUAGAGAAGCGUACCUAGAUCCGGUGCAAAUGAUAAGGAAGAAUCAUGCCAAUUUGGGGAUUAUCAGUGAUUGCAUAUCUGGAGAAUUGCUGUAUGCUUAAAGGCUCAGCAAUGGAGGGUUUGUUGUGUAUGAAGAGGUGGGGAAGUGGAGUGGAGUGUAACUUUAAUAUGAUGGGAGGUGGACGUGUUAUCAAAAGAUUUCCUACGAUUAUUUUCUUCUCAUACAGGCUUUGUCAAUGUAGACACAUCGCCAAACCACGUAAAUCAAUCUUUUGGACUUCUCCACCUUUUGAAGUUACUAGAACAAGCAGUAACCUGAUUGACCUCUUUUGGAGCUCUCAGAGAAAUCUGCCUUACACUCAUCAAAUCUACCUUGAGAAUUGAUUCCUUUUUACUGCUUUCUCUGGAGAAAACGGCGUUCCAGUGUCAUCAGGGCUGUUGGUUACAUUAGGGCAUAUGUUUGCAUAUGGCAUGAGGAAAAGACCCCUGCCCGCAGGAACUAUGUUGAUGAUAUUGGAGAUUAUGGUGGAAGUUCUUAUAUUCAAAUCUACGUGAGCAUUACUUUCGGAGAGGCACUUGCUAUUACUAAAUUGAGCGUGUUUUGCAACAAUGUGGAACAAGAUGCUGUUGCUUGUGCAAGUUGAUGAAAACCUAGCUGCUUAUGAACAUAGCUUGCAAUUUUUCCAUUUUUCAAUUGAAGAAUUUUUGAAAAA
RNA transcript from Manihot esculenta (cassava), 2911 nucleotides. It is a transcript of the gene named CDK5RAP1-like protein, with no coding region annotated. Lineage: Eukaryota; Viridiplantae; Streptophyta; Magnoliopsida; Malpighiales; Euphorbiaceae. The transcript is spliced from 5 exons. The record is from RefSeq and is a predicted model, not a curated record.